CCCUUAGAUGUCCUGGGCCGCACGCGCGCUACACUGAGUGUCUGAGAUACGAGUCUGCCUGGUCCGGCAAGGUCUAGGUAAUCGCUAAAAGACACAUCAUGCUUGGGAUAGAUUAUUGCAAAUAUUAAUCUUGAACGAGGAAUUCCUAGUAAGCGCAAGUCAACAGCUUGCGUUGAUUACGUCCCUGCCCUUUGUACACACCGCCCGUCGCUACUACUGAUUUGAUGUUUAAGCGAGGUUCUCGAACUGCUAGCGACUUAGCUUCGGUGAGGUCGCAGUGUGGGAAGUGAACCUAGCUUUGGUGUCUAGAGGAAGUAAAAGUCGUAACA
This 329-nucleotide ribosomal RNA is filed under the name uncultured eukaryote. RNAcentral describes it as "partial 18S ribosomal RNA". It matches the Rfam family "Eukaryotic small subunit ribosomal RNA", at positions 1470 to 1796 of the family's 1831-position model. The record is from RNAcentral.